This 186-nucleotide ribosomal RNA is filed under the name uncultured Odoribacter sp. RNAcentral describes it as "partial 16S ribosomal RNA". It matches the Rfam family "Bacterial small subunit ribosomal RNA", at positions 340 to 524 of the family's 1533-position model. The record is from RNAcentral. Lineage: Bacteria; Pseudomonadati; Bacteroidota; Bacteroidia; Bacteroidales; Odoribacteraceae.
UACGGGAGGCAGCAGUGAGGAAUAUUGGUCAAUGGUCGUAAGACUGAACCAGCCAAGUCGCGUGAAGGAAACUGCCCUAUGGGUUUUCAACUUCUUUUGUCAGGGAAGAAUAAGGGGAUUCAAUUCUCCGAUGCCGGUACCUGACGAAUAAGGAUCGGCUAACUCCGUGCCAGCAGCCGUGGUAAU